UACAGAGGGUGCGAGCGUUGUUCGGAAUUACUGGGCGUAAAGCGCGUGUAGGCGGUUCAUUAAGUCAGAUGUGAAAUCCCGGGGCCUAACUCCGGAAGUGCAUUUGAAACUGAUGAGCUGGAGUGAUGUAGAGGAUGGCGGAAUACCCAGUGUAGUGGUGAAAUACGUAGAGAUUGGGUAGAACACCGGUGGCGAAGGCGGCCAUCUGGGCAUUAACUGACGCUGAGACGCGAAAGCGUGGGGAGCAAACAGG
RNAcentral lists this ribosomal RNA (253 nucleotides) under uncultured bacterium. Its description in RNAcentral is "partial 16S ribosomal RNA". It matches the Rfam family "Bacterial small subunit ribosomal RNA", at positions 524 to 776 of the family's 1533-position model. The record is from RNAcentral.